UGGUACUGGAGAAGGACUGCGCUGCAAAAC
Molecule: non-coding RNA, 30 nt
Filed under: Cricetulus griseus (Chinese hamster)
Lineage: Eukaryota; Metazoa; Chordata; Mammalia; Rodentia; Cricetidae
Source: RNAcentral